UUGCGGGGGCAGAGUACAGGUGGUGGCAUGGUGUGUCGUCAGCUCGUGUCGGUGAGAUGUGUGGGUUAAGUUCCCGCAACGAGUCGCAACCCUUGAUGCUUAGUUGCCAGCAUUCAGUUGGGGCACUCUAAGGGGACUGCCGGUGACAAACCGGAGGAAGGUGGGGAGUGACGUCGAAAUCAUCAUGCCCCUUAUGACCUGGGCUACACAGCGUGCUACAAUGGACAGAACAAAGGGCAGCGAAACCGCGAGGUUUAAGCCAAUCCCACAAAUCUGUUCUCAGUUCGGAUCGCAGUCUGCAACUCGACUGUCGUGAAGCUGGAAUCGUCUAGUAAUCGCGGAUCAGUCAUGCCGUCGGUGAAUACGUUCCCGGGUCCUUGUACACACCGCCC
This 392-nucleotide ribosomal RNA is filed under the name Bacillaceae bacterium N-9-25-1. RNAcentral's name for it is "bacterial SSU rRNA". It matches the Rfam family "Bacterial small subunit ribosomal RNA", at positions 1019 to 1395 of the family's 1533-position model. Lineage: Bacteria; Bacillati; Bacillota; Bacilli; Caryophanales; Bacillaceae. The record is from RNAcentral.